This 7287-nucleotide long non-coding RNA is filed under the name Medicago truncatula (barrel medic). RNAcentral's name for it is "long non-coding RNA (MTRU_LNC002142)". The stretch from base 4481 to 4545 matches the Rfam family "MIR2629 microRNA precursor family". The record is from RNAcentral. Lineage: Eukaryota; Viridiplantae; Streptophyta; Magnoliopsida; Fabales; Fabaceae.
AUUAACAACAGCGGUGAAUCCCCAAAAGCACAAGGUGUAUUCAAGAGGUCACUCCAAAAUUACAAUAUGUUUGAUUACAAAAACAGUAACAUGAGUCAGUCGAUGCCCAAACAACGUAAAGGAUUCGACCACCAUGUCUGUAAACCAUAAACAAACCUAGCAUUGUUAGCUUUUAGCCAUCAUAAAGCUGUAUAUUUAACUUUAUCCAUCAAGUCUGUCAGUGUAGCGUGAACAUUAUUGAAUAAUUUGUUGUUUCUUUCGCUCCAUAAUAUCCACACACACAACAACCACAAAAGUUGCAUAAAAGAAUGUCUGGACCUCGAAGUGCCUGUAGCGUUAAUAAACUGAAUAAAAUGAGGAUGUAUAUUAUAGGGAUCAGCUCCAGAGAUACCAAGCCAAUUCCUAACAUAUUGCCAUAAAGCACCAAAAAUAUGACAGUGAAUAAACAAAUGUAGAACCGAUUCGUUGUUCCUGCACCCCGCCACACACAUUAAUUAUUAAUUAAUUAUAUAAAAGGAUAUAUUCCUUUGUUAAUUACUCUUACAUUUUUCAAUAAAAUUAAUUAAUGUUAUAUAUUUGAAAAAUUGAAAAUUGUUUUUUUUUUUUAAAUCAAAGUUUGCUUCUUUUUUUUUUUGACAAGGCAAAGUUUGCUUCUUGUUAUCUUAAAAUUGACAAUUAUUUAUUAUGAGAGACUGAGUGUGCAAAAAAAUACUCUCUCCGUUCCUUUUUAAUUGUCACUUUUGGAGAAAAUUUUUGUUCUUAUUUAACUGUCACAUUCAAAGUUUAAUGCAAUAGUAAAUGUUGUUUUACCAAUAUUACCCCUAGAUAUUUAUUGCGGAGAGAGAAAUAUAUGAAAUGAAAUAUUAAAUUAAUAAGGCCAUUAUAGUCAAUAUAAAAACAAUUGCAUCAAAAGUAGUAACAUUUAUUGAUUGUUUUGAUUUGUGUAAAAUGUUAAAAAGUGACAAUUAAAAAGGAACAGAGGUAAUAAAAUUUUGUUUGUUGGAGAAAAAGAUAAUAACUAACAAUUGUUUGUUACGAUAUAAAAAUAACAUAGUAAAGAGAAAGUGUGUGCAAAAAAUUAAAAAUAUAUUGGUGGAUUAAAAUAAGGGUAUAUUAGAAAAUAAAGGUGCAAAAAUAUACUUUACUAAUAUCGAUACUUAAAAAGGAAUGGAUGAAGUAUAAAGUAGGAGGUAAUAUUCAUCUAUAAAAAUUGAAAAGCAUUUCAACUUAUUAUUUUUGUCCUUAAAUAUGUCCAAGGCUUUGACCUUUAAUACCAAAGAAACUUUUGGAAUCACAGGCUGAUACUAUACGACAAAAAUAUGAGGUAAAUUGGAACUCAAGUAGAUCUCUAAUUAACUGAUAGAGCUUGAUAUUCUGCUGAUAUCAGACAAAUAUUUUCAUUCUUUAGUAUUUUCAAGCUUCAAAUAGAAUAUACAAAACAAGUAGUUGAAAUAACAUCAAUAGUGAAAGAGCUCCAAAAGAGGUUUCAUUUUUUAUCUUGUCAUUGGUGGCAUUAUAGGUGGUGCCACUGAAAUUCCUUGUCUUUGUCUUUCUGUGUUGGCUUCCCACCCUAUAUGCAGUUAAUUGUCAAAAACAAGUCAACAAAACAAUAGGACAUCAGACAAAUUCACUAAAAAUCUAACCUUUCAGUAUAUAAAAAAUUUAAGUUAAAAACCCAACUUGAAAAUUAGACAAAAAAGAAUUAGGUGCCUAUGCUCAAGUCAUAUCCACGGUUUUUGAGUUCUCUAUAUUCCUGACAAAGAGCACAAGUUUCACAACAAAAAUGAACUAAGCAAUCCAUACAAGGUGCCUCUGGCAAGUCAUAUUGUGCCCUCAGUUUGGACCGAUAAUAACAUGAAUAUAAACAUGCAAGUCCAGUCACAGCCAGUAGCGCCCCAUAAAUUGUUCCAUCACAUGUGCAAGCUGCAUAUACCAAAUUAAGUUAAGGGACCACAAGAUUAAUUUUUCCUAAAUUUUAUAUAAAAGCUUACUUACUUGAAUUGCCUUUGUCUACUAUCUCUGCUAUCAUUCCAAAAGUAACACAAGGGCAGAAGCAAGUGACCAAACCUUGUCAAUUAGAAGGAAAAAAAAGUAAUUAACCAUAAUAUAUAUGUGUUUUAAAGAAAGUGAAUGAAUCUACUACACGAUCCUUACAGAUUCCAGGAUCAUCAAGACAACGGCAAAGACGAGUUGACCAUUGGUGUGUCCUUGGGGUGAUCACCCCUUGAACUGGUGCUGAUAUAUUGAGGAUGAGGAGGAGCAUAAGGUUGUUGCACUGGCAUGCCAUAACUUGGCAUUUGUAUGACAUAGCUUUGAGGGGGGUAGUUAUGACUAUGAUCUGUUUCAUUUACGGAAGGAUACUGCAUAAUGUUAUUGGUGGAAUUAGUCCUUUAACCAACACACAAUUUUCUUUAUUAUCUUAGUGUCUAUGCAUAUAAAUGGGAGGAACUUAUAUAAGAGAGUAUUUCCACACUAAUGUAAUUUUGUAAACUACUAGGAAAAAACCAUUUUCUGUCUGAUUGGUUUAUAGAAUGGUCAGUAGUUGCAAGGAAAGGCAUACAUGAUACAUUUCAAAGUAAUAAGUGGUGGAAUAUCAACAUAAAUGAAUGGCAAAUUGCAUCUUUCAUUGCCAAGAAGUUUUUAUAUGGGAUUUGCUAGAACACAUCCACUAGUUUUUAUGUGGGAGUGUUUUAACAAGCUAUACCUUAAGGUGCAUUUAACUACUUUUUAGUUAUAACUUGCUAAAACACACUUUCUAAAAAUUAAGUGGGUGUAUUAUAGCAAAUGCCUGUAGGAGUUGCUAACAUACAUCCACUUAUUUUUUAGGUUAAUUGAAUUAAUAAUGAUCUAUGUGGUCCAUAUUAUGAACCAGAUACAUCAUUAAUUGAAAAAGUAAAAUUUGCUUAUAUUUAGAAACGGAGGGAGUAUUUAACAACUUUUUAGUUAUAUUUUUGCUAAAACACUCCCACAUAAAAAUUAGUGGGUGUAUCCUAGCAAACCCAUAUAUAUAUAUAUAUAUAUAUAUAUAUAUAUAUAUAUAACGAUACCGACACUCUUUAAGCAUUCUAAACUAAAUAAUUAUUUUCUAAAAAAAUCAAACAUUUCGAUCAAAUACAUUGAAUGUACACAUUUUCAAAAAUACUUACAACUUAUAAUUCUUAAAAAGUGUCUCAGAGACACUUAUCUGCAUUUCCCAUUUCGCAUGUAAUUAAUAUCAUUGCGUUUACCAUACAAUUUCUAACAGAAUCUGUUUAAGAUUACUGUAGGACCCACUUGCAUAUGGGUCUUUAGCACUUAUACUUUUUUUUUUGAAGGAAAGCACUUAUACUUCAAUAAUGCAUUUCUGAUUUCUCAAUUGUCAAUACUUCCAUUCAUAUGACAAUGAAGGUGUAUGAUAUGAACAUUGUUCUUUUUGGCUAGAUUGAACAUGUUACUGACUAUUUCAAACAUGUCACUACCGUGUUCUACUUCUAGCCAUGCUUGUGAAGAAAAACCAUCCAUGUUCUAGUUUGUGCGGACUGUGCUACGUAGUUUUCCUUAUUUUUGUUGCAAUAUUUUUAUUUAUGUUUUUUAUCCCUUGUAACUUCCUGUUUCGGUCUCUAAAUUUGAGAGUUUAUUGACAAUUUGUGAUGGUUUUGUUUAUGGUCCAGUGUCCCUCCUUUGGUGAGAUUUUCGUUUCUUCUUAGUCCUAGUGGUGGUUGUAUUGGAACUUUGGAAGUGUAUUUAAAGGGAACUUAGUUUGGUUUAGUGCUUCUGCUUAUUUUGAUUUAGUCCUUCCUGACUACAAUUUUUAAUUUAACAAGUGUAUUUUAAGCCAUAAAAUUUUCUUACUACAAGGAAUUGGUUCAUGUGAUCCUUUUAGAUGAUCAAUAUAUAUAAAGUAAUGACAUAUGUUUCAUUUAGUUAGAGAUAUGCUAAAUCACUUCUUUUUUAAUGGAGGGAUCUACUAACUACCAUUGGUUACGUUAGCCUUCUUCAAGGCCAAAAGAAGUUGUCUUGAACUUUAAAAUUUCUUGAUUUGUUUUGAGCUUCCUUGUAGUUGUCUUUUGGAGCUUCCUCGUUCAAUCUCCUUUAAUUUCCCACGAGCUUCCAGCAGUGAAAGUGAAUCACCAUUUGAUUUCACCACCACCCUCAUCGUCGUUUCGGCAUGGCCAUUGUUCCACCUUCUCUGUAAACGUCAUCGUCAUCAACAACGAAGUUGCUGCUUUUUUCACCGCCACCCUCGUCAUCGUUCCCGCAUGGCCAUCAUUGCACCUUCUCUCUUUGCCGGUAGUUUUAUUUUUUUUUAUUACCGUUUUUCUGUUUUUUUGGUAGACCAACGAUUCUUAUACAUAUCCUCUCUUUUGUUAUAACUAUUUACCGGUAAUGCAUAUUGAGACAGAUAAUGUUUGAAACGUACAAAAUAAUGAUUGAAACAUUCAAAAUCAAUAAAUAUUAUUAAUGAAAAUUUAUGGUUUUGUAAAAAAAAAAAAAAAAAUUAGGUUUGAGGUUUCCUCGGUAGUUAACUUCAGUUCCAUAAUUCGGCAGUUAACUGCCGAGUGACAUUUGGGUAAAUUACUCAUGUUUCUCAACCAAUGCAUAUGUGUCAACAACAAUUCUCUUUAUUUAUUUACUUUAUGUAUGUGAGGUGUCAAGUUUUGGCUGGUUAUGACCAAUUGCAAUUUCUUGGUCACUUAGCCUUAUAAGAAUUCUUGAACUCCUCUCCGGUUGGAUCUAGACAAAAAUGUUUGGAUGGACUGGCCAAAUAAACUAUAAUAUAUAUUAAGAAAAUUAUAUGUUCAUAAGCAUUACACACAAUGGUGACCAUCACAAAAUUAGAUUACAUAUUUUAAAAAUUCAAAAUAAUAUUCUAUGCAUUUCGAUUGACUUGAAAAUGUGAUGGUAAUGUAUAUUGAGACGGAGAAUAAGGUGAAUCAUAAAGUAAUUUUAUUUAAAAGUCAAGAAUAUUUUACUAAUUUUUCCUAUAAAAAAAUUAUUAUUUUUGGGCUGGUUGGGCCUUGGCCACCUAUGCUUGCUCGCCAUUUCAAUCGAAGAACAGGAAAGAAAACUUAAAAAAAAAAAACAUGCUCGCCAUUUUAUUUGAAGAACAGGCAGAAUGUUCAAAAAAAAUGUUAUGUUCGCCAACUAAAAUGAAGAACAGGGGCAUUUCUAUCAAUAAUUUUAAACUAGGGGCAGACAUAUCAAUUUUUUUGGUAAUAGGGGCAGAAAAAAAUUCAAAAUGGGACCAGGAUAUGCUGCCACACAGUUUCACAUAGUUUUGAUUUGUGACCAUUGUAAUUUUAUCAAACCAUCCAAUAGCUGAAAUAAAAACUGUGUUGUACUUUACAGCACCAAAUCCAUAUCCCACAAAAUGUACUAAUUAAUUGCAUAGAUACCAAAGAAAUAUCAUCUACGAAAAGCAACUUAACUUGUUGGAUUAUAGGCUGAUUUAAGACAAAAAUAUGAAGUACUGUAAAUUGGAACUGAAGUAGGUCUCUAAUUAAGUGACAAAGCUUAAUAUACUGGUGAUCAUAUCAGACAAACAUUUUCAAGCAUCAAACAGAAUAUAUACAAACCAAGAAGUUGAAACAAGAUCAACAAUUUCCGUGGCUUGUGAAAAGAGCUCCUAAAGAGGUUUCAUUUUUUUCUUUUUUUUAUCUUGUCAUAGGUGAAAUCAUUGGUGGUGCCACUGCAACUCCUGGCCUCUGUCUUUCCACGUUGGCAUCCCAACCUAUAUUUCAGACUCAAUUAGUUAUCAAAAACAAGUCAAGGGUCAAGCAAAAACACUAAACCAUAUGAUAUCACACAAAUUCACAAAAACUUUUAACCUUCAAUACCUAAAAAUAUAAGUUAGAAAUCCAACUCGAAAACUAGACAAAAAUUAAGAAAGCAGAGAUUCUUGAGUAACCUCACUGACCACUUUUAGCCGGGUCUCUGUUAAAUGUAGUUAGAGAUCUGUUAAAUCUUAGUUGAAGUUUGUUAAAGGUAGUUUCAAGCUGGUUAGGAUUAAGUGCAAGUUACUUAAGAUUUUUAUCCUAGUAAGGAUCGCUGUAUUAUAAUAGACUUUUCUAAUUGAAUCAAUUCUAAGCAUAAUUAAUCUUUCUCUCAAUUUAUUUUUCAAUUUGUUGGACUCUGGAGCAUAAGAGAGGGAGACGUCUCUCUUCAGCCCAAAAUCUUAAAACGUUACAUUUUAUUCAUUAAUAAAUGGUAUGAGAAAUAACCAUCCACACUUGAAUCCAAUGAUCUCUCCCUCAAGUGUUUUUAACGUCCUAUAAUAGGAUCCAAAACAGGAUCCAGCUCUUGCUCCCCUACCAAGUUGAACUAGGGAUCUGAUACCACUUGUUGGGGAGUCUGGGUAAGUCGGGAACAACAACAGGGCAAAAUGUUCCAAGGCCACAAGAGAGGGAGACACCAUAUCUCCACCCAAAACCUUAAUGUAUUAGGUAUACGGGUCACCUCUCUUAUAUAUAUCCAACAUUUUAUCCAUUGACAUGCGAUGUGAGACUUGACCAACUUACACUUGUACUCAACAUGAAGUCUCUCAUCCCAACCAUGUUUUCUCAUCUCAAACUCGAGACGUUGCUUAAGAGAUCCAAAUCUAAUUUAGUAUAUUGAAGUAUUUGAAGAAAGAAUUAGGUACCUAUGCUCAAGUCAUAUCCACGGUUUUUGAGCUCUCUAUAUUCCUGACAAAGAGCACAAGUUUCACAACAAAAAUGAACUAAGCAAUCCAUACAAGGUGCCUCUGGCAAGUCAUAUUGUGCCCUCAGUUUGGACCGAUAAUAACAUGAAUAUAAACAUGCAAGUCCAGUCACAGCCAGUAGCGCCCCAUAAAUUGUUCCAUCACAGGUGCAAGCUGCAUAUACCAAAACAUGAUAAAUAAUAAUGAUUAUAGAUAUAUAAGUACUGAUUUGUUUAAAUUUUAUGCAAAAUUAAACCUGUGGUCCUUAACUUUAAUGUUUUGGUCUUUUAGUUUUUUCUCACGUAAUUUUGGACCUUUUAGUACGUUUGCAUAUGAAUUUUCAAGUUUAAAAUCUCAUGUUCAUAUGCAAACAUGGAUAAAGAAUCAUAAAUUUGAAGACCGACAAGUCACAGGGAAAUAAAACUAUAGAUUUUAAGUUUGAAAAUUGAUAUGCAAAUCGGCCAAAAUGACAUGAAAAAAAGAUAAAAAAACUAAAAUACUACUUAAAAUUAAGUUAAGAGAACACAAUUAAUUUUGCCUAAAUUUUAUAGAAAAGCUUACUUACUUGAAUUGCCUUUAUCCACUAUCUCUGCUAUCAAUCCAAAAGUAACACAAGGGCAGAAGCAAGU